AAUUACACUUUUAUAAUCAGAUUUGUUGUAAUUAUCGGAGUUCUGGCUCUUCUCCUCGUCGUUAUAUUGGUAGUGGUGUUCUGUCAAGGAAAGCGCAAGCCUACAGGUUUGGGCAAUCAAAGACAGACAACUCCACCAUGAAAAAGAAACACAGAAGGUGAAUCUCACCUUUAUGGCAACCUUGAAGAAAUUCAGCAGAUGGCAGAAAGCGAAGGUAAAGAUGGAAGAGUCGAUGAAGAGCCAUGAAGACGGAUAUAUAGUGCAUGUUAUUUUUUCCUCGUUAGUAUCGUGUUUCGUAUCCCUGCCUGUCACGUGUUAGACCAGGGUUCAAUUUCCCGACGAAGAGCCACAGGGUUUAAUUCCCUGACCUUUUGCUUUUGAUAUGUGUACAGCCUUUAUGGCCACUUUUUAAAAAUGUUUAUUAGUAAUUGCCUCGUUAGAUACUCGGAACAAUUAGG
Molecule: long non-coding RNA, 458 nt
Organism: Amblyraja radiata (thorny skate)
Lineage: Eukaryota; Metazoa; Chordata; Chondrichthyes; Rajiformes; Rajidae
Exons: 3
Source: RefSeq, a predicted model, not a curated record